Molecule: unclassified non-coding RNA, 378 nt
Filed under: plant metagenome
Description: partial contains 5.8S ribosomal RNA, internal transcribed spacer 2, and large subunit ribosomal RNA
Rfam family: 5.8S ribosomal RNA (bases 1-105)
Source: RNAcentral
GAAAUGCGAUAAGUAAUGUGAAUUGCAGAAUUCAGUGAAUCAUCGAAUCUUUGAACGCACCUUGCGCUCCUUGGUAUUCCUUGGAGCAUGCCUGUUUGAGUAUCAUGAAAUCUUCAAAGUAAAUCUUUUGUUAACUCAAUUGGUUUCUACUUUGGUAUUGGAGGUCUUUGCAGCUUCACACCUGCUCCUCUUUGUUCAUUAGCUGGAUCUCAGUGUUAUGCUUGGUUCCACUCGGCGUGAUAAGUUAUCUAUCGCUGAGGACACUGUAAAAGGUGGCCAAGGUAAAUGCAGAUGUACCGCUGCUAAUAGUCCAUUGACUUGGACAAUACUUUUAUGAUCUGAUCUCAAAUCAGGUAGGACUACCCGCUGAACUUAAGC